This 440-nucleotide ribosomal RNA is filed under the name uncultured bacterium. RNAcentral describes it as "partial 16S ribosomal RNA". It matches the Rfam family "Bacterial small subunit ribosomal RNA", at positions 338 to 795 of the family's 1533-position model. The record is from RNAcentral.
CCUACGGGUGGCAGCAGUGGGGAAUAUUGCACAAUGGGGGAAACCCUGAUGCAGCGACGCCGCGUGAGUGAAGAAGUAUUUCGGUACGUAAAACUCUAUUAGCAGGGAAGAAAAUGACGGUACCUGACUAAGAAGCCCCGGCUAACUACGUGCCAGCAGCCGCGGUAAUACUAAGGGGGAAAGCCUUAUCCGGAUUUACUGUGUGUAAAGGGAGCGUAGACGGCAGCGCAAGUCUGAAGUGAAGUCCCAUGGCUUAACCAUGGAACGGCAUUGGAAACUGUGCAGCUGGAGUGCAGGAGAGGUAAGCGGAAUUCCUAGUGUAGCGGUGAAAUGCGUAGAGAUUAGGAGGAACACCAGUGGCGAAGGCGGCUUACUGGACUGUAACUGACGUUGAGGCUCGAAAGCGUGGGGAGCAAACAGGAUUAGAUACCCGGGUAGUC